Molecule: ribosomal RNA, 253 nt
Filed under: uncultured bacterium
Lineage: Bacteria
Description: partial 16S ribosomal RNA
Rfam family: Bacterial small subunit ribosomal RNA
Source: RNAcentral
UACGAAGGGGGCAAGCGUUGUUCGGAAUGACUGGGCGUAAAGGGCGCGUAGGCGGCCUUCUAAGUCGAACGUGAAAUCCCUGGGCUCAACCCAGGAACUGCGUCCGAUACUGGAAGGCUUGAAUCCGGGAGAGGGAUGCGGAAUUCCAGGUGUAGCGGUGAAAUGCGUAGAUAUCUGGAGGAACACCGGUGGCGAAGGCGGCAUCCUGGACCGGUAUUGACACUGAGACACGAAAGCGUGGGGAGCAAACAGG